AGAGUUUGAUCCUGGCUCAGAUUGAACGCUGGCGGCAUGCUUUACACAUGCAAGUCGAACGGGAGUGGGGCAACCCACUUCAGUGGCGAACGGGUGAGUAACAUAUCGGAACGUAUCCUCGAGUGGGGGAUAACUCCGAGAAAUCGGAGCUAAUACCGCAUGAGAUCUCAGGAUGAAAGCGGGGGACCGAAAGGCCUCGCGCUGGAGGAGCGGCCGAUAUCUGAUUAGCUAGUUGGUGGGGUAACGGCCUACCAAGGCUACGAUCAGUAGCUGGUCUGAGAGGAUGAUCAGCCACACUGGGACUGAGACACGGCCCAGACUCCUACGGGAGGCAGCAGUGGGGAAUUUUGGACAAUGGGCGCAAGCCUGAUCCAGCCAUGCCGCGUGAGUGAAGAAGGCCUUCGGGUUGUAAAGCUCUUUCGGACGGAAAGAAAUCGCCUGGGCCAAUACCCUGGGUGGAUGACGGUACCGUAAGAAGAAGCACCGGCUAACUACGUGCCAGCAGCCGCGGUAAUACGUAGGGUGCGAGCGUUAAUCGGAAUUACUGGGCGUAAAGCGUGCGCAGGCGGUGAUUUAAGUCAGAUGUGAAAGCCCCGGGCUUAACCUGGGAACUGCGUUUGAAACUGGAUCGCUAGAGUUUAGCAGAGGGGGGUAGAAUUCCACGUGUAGCGUGAAAUGCGUAGAUAUGUGGAGGAACACCGAUGGCGAAGGCAGCCCCCUGGGCUAGAACUGACGCUCAUGCACGAAAGCGUGGGGAGCAAACAGGAUUAGAUACCCUAGUAGUCC
Molecule: ribosomal RNA, 786 nt
Filed under: uncultured bacterium
Lineage: Bacteria
Description: bacterial SSU rRNA
Rfam family: Bacterial small subunit ribosomal RNA
Source: RNAcentral